UUGAUAAUUGGAAGGUUGUAGCUGGCCUCUCGGGGCACGUGCACGCCAACCAUUAAUCUCCUUACACACCUGUGAACCCACCGUAGGCCUUUUGGCCUAUGUCUUUUCAUAAACCCCAUGCAUGUACUAGAAUGUCAUUUAUUUAUUUGCCUUAAAAAAGCAACUAAAAACAAUA
RNAcentral lists this unclassified non-coding RNA (175 nucleotides) under uncultured Agaricomycetes. Its description in RNAcentral is "sequence contains ITS1". The record is from RNAcentral. Lineage: Eukaryota; Fungi; Basidiomycota; Agaricomycetes.